UGGGGAAUUUUGGACAAUGGGCGAAAGCCUGAUCCAGCAAUGCCGCGUGUGUGAAGAAGGCCUUCGGGUUGUAAAGCACUUUUGUCUGGAAAGAAAUCCUUGGCUCUAAUACAGUCGGGGGAUGACGGUACCGGAAGAAUAAGCACCGGCUAACUACGUGCCAGCAGCCGCGGUAAUACGUAGGGUGCAAGCGUUAAUCGGAAUUACUGGGCGUAAAGCGUGCGCAGGCGGUUUGCUAAGACCGAUGUGAAAUCCCCGGGCUCAACCUGGGAACUGCAUUGGUGACUGGCAGGGCUAGAGUAUGGCAGAGGGGGGUAGAAUUCCACGUGUAGCAGUGAAAUGCGUAGAGAUGUGGAGGAAUACCGAUGGCGAAGGCAGCCCCCUGGGCCAAUACUGACGCUCAUGCACGAAAGCGUGGGGAGCAAAACAGGAUUAGAUACCCUGGUAGUCCACGCCCUAAAACGAUGUCAAACUAGUUGUUGGGGAUUCA
Molecule: ribosomal RNA, 490 nt
Filed under: uncultured bacterium
Lineage: Bacteria
Description: partial 16S ribosomal RNA
Rfam family: Bacterial small subunit ribosomal RNA
Source: RNAcentral